UAGUAUAUAUAUAACUCAUUUAAUACAAUUAUAAGUAUAAGAAAUCUAAUUUUAUCUAAAAUAUAGUAAUAGAAAUAUUAAAUAUUAAAAAGUAAAAAUAU
RNAcentral lists this ribosomal RNA (101 nucleotides) under Orobdella masaakikuroiwai. RNAcentral's name for it is "partial 16S ribosomal RNA". Lineage: Eukaryota; Metazoa; Annelida; Clitellata; Hirudinida; Orobdellidae. The record is from RNAcentral.